CCUACGGGAGGCUGCAGUGAGGAAUAUUGGUCAAUGGGCGGAAGCCUGAACCAGCCAAGUAGCGUGCGGGAUGAAGGCCCUACGGGUCGUAAACCGCUUUUGCACGGGGAUAACACCCUCCACUUGUGGAGGUCUGCAGGUACCGUACGAAUAAGGGCCGGCUAAUUCCGUGCCAGCAGCCGCGGUAAUACGGAAGGCCCGAGCGUUAUCCGGAUUCAUUGGGCUUAAAGGGAGCGUAGGCGGGCGUUCAAGUCAGCUGAAAAAUCGCGCGGCCAAACCGCGCCCCGCCGGUGAAACGGGACGCCUUGAGUUGACAACAGGCAGGCGGAAGUCGUGGUGUAGCGGUGAAAUG
Molecule: ribosomal RNA, 352 nt
Filed under: uncultured bacterium
Lineage: Bacteria
Description: partial 16S ribosomal RNA
Rfam family: Bacterial small subunit ribosomal RNA
Source: RNAcentral